Molecule: long non-coding RNA, 1017 nt
Filed under: Anas platyrhynchos platyrhynchos (common mallard)
Lineage: Eukaryota; Metazoa; Chordata; Aves; Anseriformes; Anatidae
Description: lncRNA (ENSAPLG00000026230.1)
Source: RNAcentral
CAGCCCGCCAUGCCGCCGCCCCGCCCCAAGCCCAAACCCUUCCGGGCCGCCGCGGAAGGCAGAUGGCGGGCGGGAGGCGCUGGGCGGGGCGGGGCGCUGCGGCUCCUGUCAGCUCCGGGUUGCCCGUGUGAGGCCGGGAGCCGAGGGGAAGCGGCAUCAGUCGCCGUUGCUGGCUGCUGUCCCGCUUGGGUUCUUUUUUUUUUUAAGCCUGUGUCCCCGUUUUGCUUCGCCGCUGUGGUGUCUGUGUGCGCCCGGCUGGGUCUGUGUGGCGAAAUUUGGCGUUCGCCCCCAUAAUUCUGACCCAGAAAACCACCCACAGCGUUCACGCUUGAUUUCCUGCCCUUGUGUUUACUUCUUGCCCUCCUCCAAGGCAGGCAGUGUGAGCAGAAGCACAUCCCCCAAGCACGCCGUCCCACUGGUGUCCCCCUCCCUGGAGCCAACUCCUCACCUCCACCGACACAGGGACCGCUGGGUCUUCCCCUUCUCUCCCUGGCAUCAAAAGCAUCAACCCCACAGGGGUACUGCUAAAUUUGUGUGUCCUAGUGGGGCCCACCAGUACCUCAUGUCAGUACCUUUGCUCCGACAAAGACUUCUAUGCUGGCAGGAGCAAGGGGUCUCAAACUGUGACAAGCGAUACUUCCCAAUUUCUAAGCACCGUGACAACCCUACAGUGGUGCCCACCCUACCAAAGUCCUCAGGGAGUAGCAAAAUACUAUUUAUCCCCAUUUUAAAGUUGGGGAACCAAGGCACACAGCGAGAUUAAGUGACUGCCGAGUCGUGAUGGAUGUUUCCAGCCAGAGAAGAGGGCUCCCUCGAUGCUCGCUAGCCUUGCUGCCACGGUUUGGUGCUUUUCUUAUCUAGCACGCUGCACAGCUGAAGUGGCUGAGGAUUUCGUGUGCCAGCAAUUCGCAAGUAAUAUGUUUCUGGAGAGAAAAAGUUUAAUGCUGUACUUCUCUUCACCUUCUUUUGGACAUGAUGCAACAUCAAAACUUUUUUUUUUUUUUCUUUUCUCUUUUU